CCCAAAAGCAAGGUGCGAAGUUCUUGGAGGGAAGGAUGCCGGGGGUCUAUUUCGAAACAGCCUCUUUACCCCAGGGUAGGGGUAAGAUCUGCGUACAUAUUACCCUCCCCAGACCCCACUAAGUGGGAUUAUACUGGGUUGUUUUAAGACAAGAGGGGUUGCUCUUAUGGUAAGCAACCCCCACUUCCAACCGAGAGGUUGUGAGUUCGAGUCUCCCCAAG
RNAcentral lists this long non-coding RNA (221 nucleotides) under Nicotiana benthamiana. RNAcentral describes it as "long non-coding RNA (NBEN_LNC021576)". The record is from RNAcentral. Lineage: Eukaryota; Viridiplantae; Streptophyta; Magnoliopsida; Solanales; Solanaceae.